UUUUGAAUAGCUCACUGGUAGAGCAAUUGGCACCUAACCAAUCUGUGACAGGUUCGAUUCCUGUUUCAAAAACCA
Molecule: transfer RNA, 75 nt
Filed under: Snodgrassella communis
Lineage: Bacteria; Pseudomonadati; Pseudomonadota; Betaproteobacteria; Neisseriales; Neisseriaceae
Description: tRNA-Arg
Rfam family: tRNA
About the family: Transfer RNA (tRNA) molecules are approximately 80 nucleotides in length. Their secondary structure includes four short double-helical elements and three loops (D, anti-codon, and T loops). Further hydrogen bonds mediate the characteristic L-shaped molecular structure. tRNAs have two regions of fundamental functional importance: the anti-codon, which is responsible for specific mRNA codon recognition, and the 3' end, to which the tRNAs corresponding amino acid is attached (by aminoacyl-tRNA synthetases). tRNAs cope with the degeneracy of the genetic code in two manners: having more than one tRNA (with a specific anti-codon) for a particular amino acid; and 'wobble' base-pairing, i.e. permitting non-standard base-pairing at the 3rd anti-codon position.
Source: RNAcentral